UCGAGCGAAGCGCUUAAGUCAGAAUCUUCGGAGGAAGACUUUUGUGACUGAGCGGCGGACGGGUGAGUAACGCGUGGGUAACCUGCCUUACACAGGGGGAUAACAGUUAGAAAUGACUGCUAAUACCGCAUAAGACCACAGUACUGCAUGGUACAGUGGUAAAAACUGAGGUGGUGUAAGAUGGACCCGCGUCUGAUUAGGUAGUUGGUGGGGUAAUGGCCCACCAAGCCGACGAUCAGUAGCCGGCCUGAGAGGGUGGACGGCCACAUUGGGACUGAGACACGGCCCAGACUCCUACGGGAGGCAGCAGUGGGGAAUAUUGCACAAUGGGGGAAACCCUGAUGCAGCGACGCCGCGUGAGCGAUGAAGUAUUUCGGUAUGUAAAGCUCUAUCAGCAGGGAAGAAAAUGACGGUACCUGACUAAGAAGCCCCGGCUAACUACGUGCCAGCAGCCGCGGUAAUACGUAGGGGGCAAGCGUUAUCCGGAUUUACUGGGUGUAAAGGGAGCGUAGACGGCAUGGCAAGCCAGAUGUGAAAUACCGGGGCUCAACCCCGGGACUGCAUUUGGAACUGUUAAGCUGGAGUGUCGGAGAGGCAGGCGGAAUUCCUAGUGUAGCGGUGAAAUGCGUAGAUAUU
This 636-nucleotide ribosomal RNA is filed under the name uncultured bacterium. Its description in RNAcentral is "bacterial SSU rRNA". It matches the Rfam family "Bacterial small subunit ribosomal RNA", at positions 62 to 698 of the family's 1533-position model. The record is from RNAcentral.